GAAUAUACCUUGCAGGGGGAAUACCAUGAUCAAGAAGGUGGUUUCUCCAGGGUGAGGCUCUUCCAUUGCACAUUUCGGUUGGGUUGUCCCCUGUGAUUUCCCCAAAUGUGGGAAACUCAACUACAGGGGUUGGGUGGGUGGCUUAAUGGCUAAGGUGUUUGCCUUA
Molecule: small nuclear RNA, 166 nt
Organism: Protopterus annectens (West African lungfish)
Lineage: Eukaryota; Metazoa; Chordata; Ceratodontiformes; Protopteridae
Product: U1 spliceosomal RNA
Exons: 1
Source: RefSeq, a predicted model, not a curated record